RNAcentral lists this ribosomal RNA (439 nucleotides) under Blastobotrys aristatus. RNAcentral's name for it is "Blastobotrys aristata partial small subunit ribosomal RNA". It matches the Rfam family "Bacterial small subunit ribosomal RNA", at positions 516 to 950 of the family's 1533-position model. Lineage: Eukaryota; Fungi; Ascomycota; Dipodascomycetes; Dipodascales; Trichomonascaceae. The record is from RNAcentral.
CGCGGUAAAACGUAAAGGACAAGUAAUACACAUAAUAGGUAUAAAGAGUUAGCAAUACUGAUCUAUAUAUAAUAAUAAAAUUAUAUAUAUAAAGAUCUAGAAUCUAUAGAUGAGUUAUUAUGAGGUAUAUGAGUAGCGGUUAAAUGUAUAUAUACAUAUAUAACAACCAAUUAAGAAGUAAUAUAACUAAUACAUAGAUUGACGUUGAGUAACGAAACUUAGAGUAUCGAGUAGGAUUAGUCAACCUAUAAGUUCUAAGCGUAAACGAUGUAUACUAAUAUCUAUAUAAUCAUAAAUAAUACUAAUUUAGUAUUAAUAAUAAAAUAUAAUAUGGAUAUAAAGCAAAUGCGUAAGUAUAUCACCAGGGGAGUACUGACUAAUCGAAGAAACCCAAAACAAUAGACGGUUUGAGUGUUAACAGUGGAUUAUGUUAUUUAAU